AAGUCGUAACAAGGUAACCGUAGGUGAACCUGCGGUUGGAUCAUUAACAAAUGAUUUGGUUUUUAACCAAAACACUGUGUGCAAUCAUAUCUGUCUCUGGUGGUCGAAUCUUUUUCCUGUUCGCAGGAAGACACCUUGAUCACCAAUUGAACAAACCUUUGUAUUUUUUUUUUCAUGUCUGAAUCAUUCACUUUUGUGCAAUGAAAAAACAACUUUUGACAACGGAUCUCUUGGCUCUC
This 239-nucleotide unclassified non-coding RNA is filed under the name fungal sp. RNAcentral's name for it is "partial internal transcribed spacer region". The stretch from base 1 to 46 matches the Rfam family "Eukaryotic small subunit ribosomal RNA", at positions 1786 to 1831 of the family's 1831-position model. Lineage: Eukaryota; Fungi. The record is from RNAcentral.